Molecule: long non-coding RNA, 3631 nt
Filed under: Heterocephalus glaber (naked mole-rat)
Lineage: Eukaryota; Metazoa; Chordata; Mammalia; Rodentia; Bathyergidae
Description: lncRNA (ENSHGLG00100045226.1)
Source: RNAcentral
CCCCCCCUCAAAUGAGGCAGUAUUUGAAGUGGAAAGGUGAUCUGGGGGGGUGGACUUAUCUGAGGGGUUGGAUCAGCUCAACAAACCACACUUGUGUUCUCCUGGGUGUCAAGCACUGCGGCUGCCCAGACAAAGGUGUGGGUCCUAUUGUCAGGGAGCUCAGGACAGCAGGGCAGGCACCGUGGAAACAAAGUCUUCCCUCCGUAUUCACGGGUUACACAUUCCACAGAUUCAGCCAAGGGAAAAUAUUUCCCAAAAGAAUUUUUUAAAUCGCACUGAAUAUGUAGACUUCCCCCUUCUUGUCAUUCCUUAAAGUAUACAGCAUGACAACUGUUUAUAUGCAUUUAUAAUAAGCAUUAAACGCUGCCUGCUGUGCAAGCGCAAGGACCCGAGUUCGAUCCCUGGUACCAAAAAAAACCACACAAAAAACCAAAAAUAAUAAGCAUUAUAAGUAAUAAGAGAUGAUCUAAGCAUACAGGAGGAUGCAUGUGGGUUAUAUGCAAAUACUGUACCAUUUUAGAGGAGGGAUUUGAGCAUUUGUGGAUUUUGGUACCUGCGGAGGAUCCUGGGACCAAUAUCCCAAUACUGAGGGACAGCUGCAAUUACAGUACAGUCUGCCAUAGACAGGGCGGACAGGGAGAGGGAUGGGAUGGGUGGAGUAGCUUCACAGAGGAGAUUUGAACUGAGUUUUAACAUCAAUCAGAGCCAGCUGUGGUGGUGCCCAGCCCUUGGGAGGCUGAGGCAGGACGAUUGCCACAAGUUCAAGGCCAACCUGGACUAAUAGUGAGUUCAAGGCUAGUCUGAACUACAUAGCAAGUCCCUGUCUCAAAAAUAAAUAAAUAAAUAAAGUCAGAGCGGGGCAUGGUGGCACAAGUCUAUAAUCCCAGUACUCAGAAGGCUGAGGAAGGAGGAUUUCUGCAGGUUUCAGGCCAGCCUGGGCUACACAGUAAGUUCAAGGCCAGCCUGAAUUACAUAGUGAAACCCUCACUCAGAAAAUCCCUCCCAAAAAACCAAUAAAAUAAGCCAAUCAAAACUCCUGAUUUUAUUCAGUGUGGUGGAGAUGCUAUUGCAGGGGUUGUUUUGGCUUGGUUUUUCAGACAGGUACCUGUGUGGCCCAGGCUGGCCUGCAAUUUGCAAUGCUCCUGCCCCAGGGCUGGGAUCGAGGCUUGCACCAUGGUGCCCAGCUCACCAGGGGAUUUGGGGAAAGGCAUGAUGGUAAUCCAGUUUGUUUUAAAGGAUCAUUCUGGGGCUAGGUAUGUACUCAGUGUGAGAGCGCAUGCCUGGCAUGUGUGAGGCCUGGGGUUCAAGGCCGGGUACUGCAUAGGGAGGGACAGGAGUUUACCUCAGAGGUCAAGCAUUUGCCCAGCAGGCAGGUGGCCCUGGUAAUGGUCCCCUGCAAGGACAGGAGAAGGGGAUGCUCCUGGGGCUGAGAAGUCGAGAUUCUGUUACAGGCCUCUGCUAGUUCCUGGGUAUUUGCUGUCAACCUUUGCUGCUCUGGCUCACAGACAUGGCCCCUGACCUCGGCCUUUGUGUCCAGGUGGUUUCCCCCCGUGUGUGCUCACGUGUCUAGUUUCUACUUCUUACAAGGACACGGUCGCACUGGACUAGGGCAUGUCCUAAUGACCUCAUCUUGGAUGUCUGUGAAGAAUCCGCGGUAUUUCCACAUCAGGUCACACUCACAAGUCCUGUGAGCUUGGUUUUCAGCAUCUCUUGGGGAGCACAACUCAGCCCCUAACAGCCUGGAGAGGGUGGAGACAGCAAAACUUCUUGGUGGCCAUGACAAGGCCUGUGUGCACGAGCGGUGGGAGUGAAAGCCACCUUGGGUAGGUUGGAGAGAAAACAGGAGAGAAUGGAGACCAGGAGCACACGCAGCUCUCGAGAAAUUCAGCUGUUGUGGUGCAGGAAUUUGGAGGGGCAUGAAACUUGGAGAGAUUUUUAAGAUAGGCAAUAUUAAACUACAUGAGUGUAAAUGAUCUAACUUGUGUGCUAUGGAAGAGAAGGGAUGACAGAGGUGGGAUUUAGAAAGGAAGGGCUGGGUUCCAGGGGGCCCGUGGCUUGUAGGGAGACUGAAGGCGGAGUUGUGGCUUGAGCCGCAGGUGGCUCUGGUGUGGGAAAGAUGAGCCAUGUAAGUUUGGCUCUGUUUCCUGGAUGAAGUCAGAGGUGGGAGCCUAAACUGAGAAUGUGUUUUAUGGGGGGGAGGCUGGGAAUCUGGAGGAGGGAGGCGCUGUGAAGUAGCCCAAGUGUGGAGCAGCAGAGCUCGGGAACUACCUGGCCUUGACCAGGUCAGGGGGUCACACAGGCGCCAAAUGCGUGGGUAGUUCUGUUUAACUAGGGCUGGAAUAGGGCCAGAGAAGGAUGUUAGAGCGGGGCAAGAGAGAAAAGGGUCUCUGUAAGGGGGGUGAUUUUAACAACGGAUCAAGACAGGAAAUGAGGAGGUGCUGGGUCACAAAAGAGUGGUCUCGGCCAUGGUUUGUGGUCUCUGAGUGCUGAAGGAGCUGAAUGGGGACCUCGGGCAGUGAGCCCAGCCGGAAAGGUAGGAGGUGGCAGAGGGCUGGAUACUCGGCGAUCAGAUUUUAGAAGCAGUGCCAACUCUGGAAAAUAGUCAAAGCUAUGUACUUUUUCCUCAGGCCUGGCAAAAUCUUUUCCAAUAAACACAAUGAACUGAGGUUUUAAUUAUCUGCUGCCAAACUGCCAGUCAGAUCGCCAGUCCAAGGACUCCCUGUCUUCAGCAGCUUGCACACAGCCAUGGCAAUGAAUUGUUAGCCCCGUGUGCAGAGCUCCCCUCCCCUCCUCGCUGAAGCAGGCUGGGUUGUGAGUGAGACAGACAAGCAACAUCACAAAUUCUCAGAGCUGAAAAUACUUCGUUGUUUUCCCCAUAGAACAACUUUUUCUAAAGAGGGUCUCGCUGGCCUUGAACUCACAGUGAUCCUCCUGCCUCAGCCUCCCGAGUGCUGGGAUUACAAGUGUGCACCACCGCUCCUGGCACCUAAAACAACUUCUGGGCCGGGGAUUUAGCUCAGUGGCACCGAGCCUGCCUCGAAAGCGAAAGGUCCUGAGUUCAAUCCCCAGAACCAAAAAAAACCCAAAGAACAACAACAGAAAAACUCCAAAACAACUUCUAAGAUCAUAUGCACCAAGUAUCCUGUAGACUUCAUUACACACCCAUGAGAAAACGAAUGUGGAGACGAAACAAGCCCAACAUGACGGUGCAUGCCUGUAAUCCCAGGCAUGGCAGGACUGCAAAUUUGAGCCAGCCUGGACAAUUUAGUGAGUUUGUUUCAAAACAAAAUGAAAAGGGUUGGAGAUGCAGCUCAGUGGUAGAGCAUUUGUCUAGCAUGCAUGGUGGUGGUGGUGUGAAAGUUUAGAACUUUGAUGAAAAUGUCUUUUACUGUAAGGACCCUGUGAAAUGAUUUCAAAAGAGAAACCUCAUUAGCAUUUCCGCUGUCUCUCCUGUGGUGAGCGCAUCAUGUGGUGAAUCCUGAGUGCACAUGCACAUGUCAAACUGUGCCCUGAGGAUAAAGCAAGUUCUAAUGUAUGGGGAAAGGAUUAAAUAUUUGUUUUCUGAAAAGUUACUUUGUAUUUUGUUUUCUAUUAAAAUGUAUUUAGUUUAAAAAAAAGAGAAACCUCAGAG